Long non-coding RNA from Neogale vison (American mink), 427 nucleotides. RefSeq lists it as uncharacterized. Lineage: Eukaryota; Metazoa; Chordata; Mammalia; Carnivora; Mustelidae. The record is from RefSeq and is a predicted model, not a curated record. The transcript is spliced from 3 exons.
AUGGCAUGCUUUCCGUGUUUUCUCAUUGGAAUGAUGAUCUUCUUUGCAAAGUCGCUGUAGCCCAGUUUUCAGCUAAAACAUGCGUAGCCAAAGGGGAAGCCCUGUGAGUGCAUAGCCAGUAAAUGAAUGAACAAAAGAACAGAAACAAUGUUGGAAUAUUGCAGGGGAUGCGAUUUCUAGUUUCACUCUGUUUCAAAAUAUUUUUCUUGAAGCCCCUGCUGUGCGGGAAGCCAGCUGCCAUGUCUUGAGCUCCCUACGGAGAGACUCUGAUGUCUCCAGACACCAUCCAGCAGAGACCUGUGGCUGCCCAUAGUCACGUGAGUGAGCUUGGCAGUGGCUCCUUCCCUCGUGGAACCUUCAGAUAGAUGACUACUGCCCUGGGGGAAGCCUCAGUCGUUUACUCCUGGGAGACUCUGAGCCAUCCCCA